Schistocerca gregaria is the source of this 2001-nucleotide long non-coding RNA. RefSeq lists it as uncharacterized. The record is from RefSeq and is a predicted model, not a curated record. The transcript is spliced from 4 exons. NCBI's taxonomy places the organism in Eukaryota, Metazoa, Arthropoda, Insecta, Orthoptera, Acrididae.
AUGUCAUUCAUGAUUGUGUUGAUCGCUGAAUUGCGUACCCUGUGACAUAUGGCAAGAAAGAGUACUUUGAAGUAUUUGGAGGUUUUGUAUUUUGACUGAAGGUCCAACUGUUCAGUUAGAGGAUGCAUAAAUACACUAAUAUGGAUGACAGGGGAUGCUCUUAGUCUUUUUAUGGGCGAAGAGACAUGGGAGUACGUACGAUUACGGCAGAAGAAGAGAGUAAAUAGAUAUUCUAAGAGUCUGGCGUUAGUUUUUUUUUCUGCUUCGAAGCGUCGAGCACAUUGGAAGGGAACAUGCAUCCACAUCUAUAUAGGUAUAACAAAUCUAUUAGGCACACGGAAAACAAGAAGAUUGUAUCGACGAUUUUGAUAUCGGUUUUAAAUUGAGGGUUUCUAAGUAUAGAGUUGGUGAAUCAGAUGAAGAUGUUGCGCCGGAACUGAGAAAAUCGGACAUGUAAACCGUUUUGUACUCUUGAUUUUUGCUGUUAUCAAGGUUCAUGGUUUCUCCUGAGCUGCGAGACACCCUAUUUGCCGUUCUAUUCGUUCGGUACGGGAUGUCCUUACGCAGAUAUUGAACAGGGUUGUAGGUACUUCUCUGGCACCGAUAAGUUAAGUACCCAUUCAACAGUAUGGCACUGCAGGUGAUGAGGAAGAGGAUCCGCCAUUCCCGCUUGCAGAAUUUGCAGGCCAUACAAAUGAUUCUAGAGAUAUCCAUAAGGGUCAGCCACCAAGGCUGCAAACCAUUGCAUCAGGGAAUGCCUUCAUAAAAGGGGCGUAAAAAAAAACCAAGACCUUAAAAAAAAAUAAGCCCUCAGUAGGAGUUUGUUUCAUUGAAAAAAAAUUAUUUUCGACUUUUUCUAGGAGUCCAGGGAAACUCCGAGCCCAGAGACUAGAUAGAUUUUUAUUUGUUAGCUAAUGCCAGAUCCAUUAGUCUUCUACGCCAAAUCAUGCUGGAGGCGUAGCUAUUAAUAAGGAGACAGGCGGGAGUCUCCAAGACGUAAUAGACGUUUUUUUUCGCCCGAACUAAAAUAUACAAAUAUCUCUUGGUUGACUUGUCCAUCCUCCAAUAGGAUACGUUUUCCCAGGGGUGAGAAAAUUUGUGCUUCCCCUUGAUGAAGAAGUGAAUGCCGAGUUGGUUGACACCUAAACACAUAAUAUCGCUGUCACCGACGAAAUAUCCGGAUUUGUCGACGGUGUUAUCUUGAACAAAAAAGAAGACCGACCCAUAGUAGGGCAGGGCCUGCACCACUUUCAAAAACUGUCUGUAAAUGGCCUCAAGAGGCGUGCCUCUGUGUUUCGCAUGCUCGACCUGAACCGCUCUCACCUCCUUGAGUCCCUUCUUUUGCUUGAUCAACGCCCUCGCAGAGCCUGGCACUAGCUUGGGCAGGGAGUGACGGUACUCUGCCUCUAGCCCCUCUUUGGCGUCUCCGAACAGCACAUGCGCGAUCAGCCCGGAAAGGUAAUGCCUUUGGUCUCGAGACGUGUAGUAGCCGUUAAUCAAAAACACAAAAACCGCCUCAGAGUACAACAGGUAAAUCGCCUUUUCGCUGUGGAACUGCAGCUCCCUCUCAAUCUGCGAAAAUGGUGACCUCCUGAAGACCACGAAUGGGGGGCUCUCAAGGUUGUCAGAGUACUGUGGCACGUACUUCUCAUUCCAGUCUCUCAGUACAUCCUUUAUCUUGUCGUAAUUCCGCAAUAGUACCUCUUAAAAAGUGUCCGUCAGUUCACAAAAAUCUUGAGGUACUCGGCUGCUGCGGAGCCAAACGUACCUAGUCUUGACCCGAUGGCCCAAAUGAAAAAGCUGGGCCUGCAAUCAUCUUCCAGUGACAGCCUUUCGCAGAUGCGUUUCCACAGCUUCUCGCAGAGCGUUCGUUAGUCCCCUUCUCCACGACCGAGGCGGCGUGAGUUUAUUGACAAAAAAAAAACGUACGUCUUCCGCCGUAGUUUCGUCCGUGACAUUCACAUUAAUGAAUGCGCCAUCUAAAAAGUACACCUUCAGCAC